RNAcentral lists this ribosomal RNA (505 nucleotides) under uncultured bacterium. RNAcentral describes it as "partial 16S ribosomal RNA". It matches the Rfam family "Bacterial small subunit ribosomal RNA", at positions 28 to 507 of the family's 1533-position model. The record is from RNAcentral.
GACGAACGCUGGCGGCGUGCCUAAUACAUGCAAGUAGAACGCACAGUUUAUACCGUAGCUUGCUACACCAUAGACUGUGAGUUGCGAACGGGUGAGUAAAGCGUAGGUAACCUGCCUGGUAGCGGGGGGUAACUAUUGGAAACGAUAGCUAAUACCGCAUAAUAUUAAUUAUUGCAUGAUAAUUAAUUGAAAGGUGCAAUUGCACCACUACCAGAUGGACCUGCGUUGUAUUAGCUAGUAGGUGAGGUAACGGCUCACCUAGGCGAGGAUACAUAGCCGACCUGAGAGGGUGAGCGGCCAGCCUGAGACUGAGACACGGCCCAGACUGCUACAGGAGGCAGCAGUAGGGAAACUUGGGCAAUGGACGAAAGUCUGACCGAGCAACGCCGCGGGAGGGAAGAAGGUUGUCGGAUCGUAAAGGUCUGUUGUAAGGGAAGAACGGGUGUGAGAGUGGAAAGUUCACACUGUGACGGUAUCUUACCAGAAAGGGACGGCUAACUACGUG